This 102-nucleotide microRNA precursor is filed under the name Medicago truncatula (barrel medic). Lineage: Eukaryota; Viridiplantae; Streptophyta; Magnoliopsida; Fabales; Fabaceae. The record is from RNAcentral.
AAAUUACCAAGGUAUUGGCGCGCCUCAAUUUGAAGACAUGGUUAACAUGAAAUUACUAACCAUGUCAUUUGAUUGAGCCGCGUCAAUAUCUCGCUCAUGAUC